GGUUUGAUGGGCCAGGCACGAGGACUGUGAGGAACAUGAAUUGUUCUUUUCAUGCACAACCACGGAGGCAGGUUAUACGGCGUGACAAUAACUGGCCAAGAAGAAUAUUGACGCCCUGAUUGUGCAAAUGGGGCAAAACCAUCUGUAGAGAGGCCCAAUCUCACAUUUCUGAUCUCCUCGGCGAAUCCAGGAAAGACUGAAUUCAAAUGUUUCCAUGCCGGAGAGUCGACCGGGUGGCGC
This 240-nucleotide long non-coding RNA is filed under the name Salvia miltiorrhiza (redroot sage). RNAcentral's name for it is "long non-coding RNA (SMIL_LNC003050)". The record is from RNAcentral. Lineage: Eukaryota; Viridiplantae; Streptophyta; Magnoliopsida; Lamiales; Lamiaceae.